GAUGAACGCUGGCGGCGUGCCUAAUACAUGCAAGUCGAGCGAACGGACGAGAAGCUUGCUUCUCUGAUGUUAGCGGCGGACGGGUGAGUAACACGUGGAUAACCUACCUAUAAGACUGGGAUAACUUCGGGAAACCGGAGCUAAUACCGGAUAAUAUUUUGAACCGCAUGGUUCAAAAGUGAAAGACGGUCUUGCUGUCACUUAUAGAUGGAUCCGCGCUGCAUUAGCUAGUUGGUAAGGUAACGGCUUACCAAGGCAACGAUGCAUAGCCGACCUGAGAGGGUGAUCGGCCACACUGGAACUGAGACACGGUCCAGACUCCUACGGGAGGCAGCAGUAGGGAAUCUUCCGCAAUGGGCGAAGGCCUGACGGAGCAACGCCGCGUGAGUGAUGAAGGUCUUCGGAUCGUAAAACGCUGUUAUUAGGGAAGAACAUAUGUGUAAGUAACUGUGCACAUCUUGACGGUACCUAAUCAGAAAGCCACGGCUAACUACGU
This 496-nucleotide ribosomal RNA is filed under the name uncultured bacterium. RNAcentral's name for it is "partial 16S ribosomal RNA". It matches the Rfam family "Bacterial small subunit ribosomal RNA", at positions 28 to 506 of the family's 1533-position model. The record is from RNAcentral.